UCCGGUUUGACACCGGCAGUCUCCUAUGAGUCCCCAGCCGAACUGCUGGCAACAUAGGAUAGGGGUUGCGCUCGUUGCGGGACUUAGCCCAACACCUCACGGCACGAGCUGACGACAACCAUGCACCACCUGUAUAGGGCCCCGAAGGACACUACAUCUCUGCAGCUUUUCCCUAUAUUUCAAGCCCUGGUAAGGUUCUUCGCGUUGCGUCGAAUUAAGCCACAUGCUCCGCCGCUUGUGCGGGCCCCCGUCAAUUCCUUUGAGUUUUAGCCUUGCGGCCGUACUCCCCAGGCGGGGCACUUAAUGCGUUAGCGCCGGCACGGAGGACGUGGAAUGUCCCCCACACCUAGCGCCCAACGUUUACGGCGUGGACUAC
This 376-nucleotide unclassified non-coding RNA is filed under the name uncultured Actinomycetes bacterium. RNAcentral's name for it is "uncultured actinobacterium contains 16S-23S intergenic spacer region". The record is from RNAcentral. Lineage: Bacteria; Bacillati; Actinomycetota; Actinomycetes.